Long non-coding RNA from Triticum urartu, 1559 nucleotides. RefSeq lists it as uncharacterized. The record is from RefSeq and is a predicted model, not a curated record. NCBI's taxonomy places the organism in Eukaryota, Viridiplantae, Streptophyta, Magnoliopsida, Poales, Poaceae.
AAAAACUGAACCGACUGCAGUACUGUGAACCCCAACUAUUCUCAAGUUGCUAACAACGGGGAUCACUGGAAUGCUUGCAAGCUUGGGGCAAUUUUUGAUCUCUAGCUCUUCAAGCACCGGGAAUGUUAGCAGGUUAUCCAUCUUCUCCAAGCACAAAAUCUCCAGAGAGACCGAUGACCAUACGACAGGCUUUGUAAUUCAAUCAACCUCAUCUUCUUCAACCUUGGGAAAAUUUGCAGAGGGCUAAAAACAGAAGAUGAACAACCGAUGAAGAGCAAAACAGGGCAAGGAUUGAGGAGAGGAUUCACCUUAACAACACCCAAAUUCGAUCUUUGGUGAAAGAGCAACGAUACUGCUGCUCGUUCGUCGCCAGCCCUGUGCAGAUCUCUCACGCUUCAGGGCUGCUUGGUUUGAUAAUGGGAGGUUGCUGGAGAGAGGAUGCAAGCAAAUGGAGCUAGGAUGAAGGGAUCCAAGAUCUGAGAUGUAUAUUUACUGGUACCUACCGGUGGCCCCUCAAUUAUAUGGAGACAAUCAUGGUGUGCGUCCCCCUGUGGAGAGAACUACUGAUGCAUGUACCUACGGGACAAAUUGAAAACCAGAAAUCGCACAGCCAGGAAGGAAUUUUCUGUGUGGAAUGUAUCACCUAUGUUAUUGCAAGAGAAAUUCUAAAGAGGCGCUCCUGCAUUAAUUCUUUUCAUGACACAGCAGCCCAAGUGAAAACUCUGUUGUCUACCUCCAGAGCUUACAUCACCAAACAAAUAUCGGUUUUAUCGACGGCUGCGGUUGAAGGAGAGUGGACGAUGGCAAAUGGAGAUAAGAUCAAGGAAUCCAAGAUUUGAGCUGUAUGUUCAGUUACUACAGAUGAUUCCAAUCAAAAAAUGUGGACAGCGCACCACUUUCCAACUUGUUGAUAGGACAAUAAUUGAAGAGAGAAGCAUGCCAUGCAUGCAUCUGCCGUGAAGACUUUUCUCAAUUGUGUCACUAAUGGUUCUGCAGGAAUAGGCAAGACACUGUUUUCGAGCUGGCACAUUACGUGUGGACCUGGUAAAGGGGUCAAAUCGAACAAGGAUAAAUUGGGGAGCCGGAUUGCCCAUGCGCUUAUCUAGUGAAGUUUUCCGGGCACCGAGAGCAGAUCGAAGAUUGAGAUGUGAUGGCUUGUUGUUGCUGGCUGGAUGGGUGCUCUGCUGCUGCUGCUGUUACCUAGCUGUUGCUGCCUGCUGAAUUGAUAAGCCAAGUUUAUCUGAACCUCGAGAGUAGGAUUUCCAGCGGAGAGCAGACUGAAGAUUGAUGUGCUUGUUUGGCUGUGCUUUGCAUUUUGUAAUUGGCCGAGUUCUAGUAGAGUAUUGUUGAUCUUUUUAUAUAUUGAAAUUAGGGGUAAAUAUCUCAUCCUCUGUUUCAGUCAAUUGCUGGAGAAUAUUGCUGUGACAUCAGCUGACUGGAAUUCUCCCUGUGCAAACAGCAUGCAGAUAUUAGUUAGCUGAAUUCUGUAACCUUUUUUUUCCUCCAAAAAAAAACUCUGUAACCUUAUUGAGGGUUUUAUAGGCAUUCCUCUGCAACUA